Molecule: ribosomal RNA, 253 nt
Filed under: uncultured bacterium
Lineage: Bacteria
Description: partial 16S ribosomal RNA
Rfam family: Bacterial small subunit ribosomal RNA
Source: RNAcentral
UACGUAGGGCGCAAGCGUUGUCCGGAAUUAUUGGGCGUAAAGAGCUCGUAGGCGGCCUGUUGCGUCCGCUGUGAAAUCCCGGGGCUCAACCCCGGGCCUGCAGUGGAUACGGGCUGGCUAGAGGCAGGCAGGGGAGAACGGAAUUCCUGGUGUAGCGGUGAAAUGCGCAGAUAUCGGGAGGAACACCAGUGGCGAAGGCGACUUCCUGGCCUGUUCUUGACGCUGAGGCGCGAAAGCUAGGGGAGCAAACGGG